UAUCUCUGUAGAGUCUGCAUAUCAAUAAGCGGAGGAAAAGAAACUAACAAGGAUUCCCUUAGUAACGGCGAGUGAAGCGGGAAGAGCUCAAAUUUGAAAUCUUCAAGGGUUUACCUUGACGAAUUGUAGUUUAUAGAAGUGUUUUCUGUUAGAGAGGUAGUAAAAGUUCUUUGGAAUAGGACAUCAUAGAGGGUGAGAAUCCCGUAUUUGACUAAUUCUUUCUAACGUUGUGAUACACUUUCAAAGAGUCGGAUUGUUUGGGAAUGCAGUCCAAAGUGGGUGGUAAAUUUCAUCUAAAGCUAAAUAUUGGCGAGAGACCGAUAGCGAACAAGUACCGUGAGGGAAAGAUGAAAAGAACUUUGAAAAGAGAGUUAAACAGUACGUGAAAUUGUCAAAAGGGAAGCGUUUGACACCAGUGUUGUUUUCUCGAAAAUCAAUUAAAAAUGGCGGGAUUUUGUGUUGUAUUGACUUUAUCAGCUUUCUGCACUUUUUUCCUGUCUUUUUUAAUGCACUUUUCGUUUAACAAGUCAACAUCAAUUUCUUUUGUUGUAAAAGGGUCAUUGGAAGGUGGCUUUCUUUUCGGAGAAAGUGUUUAUAGCCUUUGAUCUCUGCAACCGGAGAGACUGAGGUCUGCAGCGUAGACUCUUCGGGGUUAGAUACAUUUGUGCUAAGCUAUAGCUUUUUAUAGACAACUUGUUGACUAUAUUUAGUCUUGUGGCUUACUCGCUUAUGCUAUUUUACCUACGCUUAGGAUGUUGAUGUGAUACUGCGAGC
This 774-nucleotide ribosomal RNA is filed under the name uncultured Neocallimastigales. RNAcentral's name for it is "partial large subunit ribosomal RNA". It matches the Rfam family "Eukaryotic large subunit ribosomal RNA", at positions 24 to 645 of the family's 3401-position model. Lineage: Eukaryota; Fungi; Neocallimastigomycota; Neocallimastigomycetes; Neocallimastigales. The record is from RNAcentral.